UAAGAAUAUUCCGCAAUGGGCGAAAGUCUGACGGAGCGACGCCGCGUGAGUGAUGAAGGCCCUUGGGUCGUAAAGCUCUGUCAUUGGGGACGAACGACCGCCUCAGGAAAUGGGGGCGGAGUGACGGUACCCAAGAAGGAAGCCACGGCUAACUACGUGCCAGCAGCCGCGGUAAUACGUAGGUGGCAAGCGUUGUCCGGAAUUAUUGGGCGUAAAGCGCGCGCAGGUGGGAUCUUAAGUCCAUUUUGAAAGUUCGGAGCUCAACUCCGUGAUGGGAUGGAAACUGGGAUUCUUGAGUAUCGGAGAGGAAAGCGGAAUUCCCCGUGUAGCGGUGAAAUGCGUAGAUAUGGGGAGGAACACCAGUGGCGAAGGCGGCUUUCUGGACGAUGUCUGACACUGAGGCGCGAAAGCCAGGGGAGCGAACG
RNAcentral lists this ribosomal RNA (425 nucleotides) under uncultured prokaryote. RNAcentral describes it as "bacterial SSU rRNA". It matches the Rfam family "Bacterial small subunit ribosomal RNA", at positions 356 to 774 of the family's 1533-position model. The record is from RNAcentral.